Long non-coding RNA from Melospiza melodia melodia, 2069 nucleotides. RefSeq lists it as uncharacterized. Lineage: Eukaryota; Metazoa; Chordata; Aves; Passeriformes; Passerellidae. The transcript has 6 exons. The record is from RefSeq and is a predicted model, not a curated record.
UUGUUCAAGCUCAUCUUCAGUUGCCUUCCCAGCUGCUGGUGGAAAGGGGAGCUGAAUGGCUGGAGACAGCAACCAUCAGUGACAGGAGGAUUUAGCAGAAGACCUCAGACAGCCAGAAAAUAUCUGGUGAAGAAAGCAAUAGAAAAACAGAGCUUUAGCCCCAAACUCUAGGUUUGGCCUCAUGGCACUUCACUGGGGCUCAUUGAUGUUGGUGAAGACAAGAUCUGGUCCUUGCCUGUGAAAUAGCUGCAUCCUUGUCCUGUGCUGACUGCCCACCAAGUUGCUCCUGGAUACAGUGGAAGGUUGGAUUGCUUCAGGAGCCCUGAACUGCCCCCAGCUCCCCAGCAUGGUGAUGCUUGGAAGGAAAUCCUACAACCUGAGCACACACCCAGCUUCUCCCAGUCAUUCUGUCCUGCACAAAGGACUGUGGCUUCUUCUUCUGGAACUAUUCAGCUUUGCUCUGGUACAGAACACCAGACCAUCACUGGGAGCCCCACGCUGCAUCCUGGCUCUGGACCUCAGGAGAAGCCCAGCAGCACUCCAAAAGUCCACCAGCUUUCUCCACAAUGAGGAGUGGUUUCUGCUGUGUUCCAUCCAGAUGCGCAACCAUCCCCUACAACUCCCUGCUCUGAUCUCAUCCUGGAGCUGGCUACGGAGGGCUGGGGCACCUGUGGCACCAAGCAGGGCUGAGAAGAUGUUUCUGCAUUCUGGGUGAUAUUUAGACAUUCACACUUCAUCACCCUGUUUUCAUCUGACCCCAAGUGCUGAGGAAGGUGGUAAUGUAACCACUUGGUCAACCUGACUGCCAGGAAUUUUCCUCUACAACAAAAGGAAAGCCACAUAGUCAUGGCUAUGACCCUGCCUCUGCAAAGGACCCUUUCCCUCUUAUUCUCCACAAAUAUUGAUCUGAAAGCCAAAGGGGAAUGCUUCACUCCAGGCCCUACUGAAGAACUUAUUGGAGACCCAAGUUUCUUUGUGCUUCUUCUCACCUGCAAGCAAGAAACAGCUGAGGGCAAUCCUGCUGCUGAGGACAAUCCUGCUGCUGAGGGCAUCUUUUGAAGGAAAAGGGCUGUCAGCCCAGAGCCAGCAGGCAUAAAGUAUUACAGUUCCCAUUGCAUUGAACAGCAUCCUUUUAUGAGCUGACAGUAUGCAAGCCAUAAAAUCCAUGGAUGUUUCUGUACUCUGUAAAAUGUGUUCUUUAGAUCUGUCCAGGGAACAACAGCUUUUCCAGUUUAUUUUUAUGGGUGAAGUUGAGGAAUGCAUUCAAUGUUUGUUGCACAAUCCUCUGCUACUGUGGCUGAGGGAUUGCUCUUCCCCUGCUACUCCCAGUGCACUGAGCCCUUCCUGCUCUAGAGGUUAUUGUGCCAACCCCAAAACCUGGUCUGCUGACCCAGGUUAUUGCCUUGUUGCAUUUGCUCUAGCCACUCUCUUGCUUCCAGUGGUGCCUGUGAGCUCAGAAUGAGAACAGGGUUUUUUCUCUGUCUCCUGCUGGGGUCUGGUGCUACCCAGCUGUCCCCACUCAGAGCCUGCAGAGCCCUGGCUGCCACAGGACAAACCCACUGCAGGAACAAGCCAGAAAAGGGGGAAUGGGCAGGGUGGCAGGUAGAGCUCAUGCCUGUGCCUCAACCCUCACUGGUUUUCUAAUAUAGGUUCAGGUAGUAUUCCUUAGAGAGUCAGAUAAGGAAAAUAAAUACCAAACAUAGAAUAAAUGCAGAAGACAACACAUAACCCUAGAUGAACAGUUUAGUGCUUCUGUGUUGGUAUAGAAAAGUAGAAGCAUCCCCAGGUUUUUAUGGUUUUCCUCUAAGGGCAGUCCAAUGUUCUGUCUUCAUUGAAUUUUUUUUUCUUACAAAAUUUCUGUUGUAAACUAGAAAACAAUCUCCCUUUUGUGACCCUUUUGGCUCAGGUGGAAAGUGUUUGUGGUCUGCCUCAACUAAAACAAUAAUGUGAAAUUUUAUCUAAUCAUCUAGUGUGAAAUUAGUCAGAUGUGACAUUUUUGCCCUUGUGAUCGACUUGCAAUCAAGGAAUAUACUUUCAGUAAAUGAACAGAUAGAAUUUCUCUAAAUUUA